Molecule: unclassified non-coding RNA, 148 nt
Organism: Callithrix jacchus (white-tufted-ear marmoset)
Lineage: Eukaryota; Metazoa; Chordata; Mammalia; Primates; Cebidae
Rfam family: Metazoan signal recognition particle RNA
About the family: The signal recognition particle (SRP) is a universally conserved ribonucleoprotein. It is involved in the co-translational targeting of proteins to membranes.
Source: Ensembl
GCUGGGCGUGGUGGUGCAUGCCUGUAAUCCCAGCUACUCAGGAGGCUGAGGCAGGAGAAUUGCUUGAACCCUGGAGGCUGAGGUUGCAGUGAGCUGAGAUUGUGACACUGCACUCCAGCCUAGGUGACAGAGUGAGACUCUGUCUCAA